UGAAGUCAACUGGUCCCCAGACAUAAGGU
Molecule: small RNA, 29 nt
Filed under: Bombyx mori (domestic silkworm)
Lineage: Eukaryota; Metazoa; Arthropoda; Insecta; Lepidoptera; Bombycidae
Description: ovarian small RNA-30998
Source: RNAcentral